UACGGAGGGGGCUAGCGUUGUUCGGAAUUACUGGGCGUAAAGCGCACGUAGGCGGCUUUGUAAGUUAGAGGUGAAAGCCCAGGGCUCAACCUGGGAACUGCAUUUGAAACUGGCGGGCUUGAGUAUGGCAGAGGGGGGUGGAAUUCCGCGUGUAGCAGUGAAAUGCGUAGAGAUGCGGAGGAACACCGAUGGCGAAGGCGGCUUACUGGUCCGGAACUGACGCUGAGGUGCGAAAGCGUGGGGAGCAAACAGG
RNAcentral lists this ribosomal RNA (253 nucleotides) under uncultured bacterium. RNAcentral describes it as "partial 16S ribosomal RNA". It matches the Rfam family "Bacterial small subunit ribosomal RNA", at positions 524 to 776 of the family's 1533-position model. The record is from RNAcentral.